GAGAGGGGAGGCAGCGGCGGAUAAAUGCUAUUAGAGCAGCCGCCGCGGAGCCGUCCCCGACGCCACCUCCUUCUCCUUCGCCGCAGUUUCCUCCGCCGCUGUCGGGGGUGCGGAGCUGAGGGAACAGGGCGAGCGCGCCACGCACCACCCCGCCGGCUCGCCGCCCCCGCUCCGUUCUGCCCUCAGGGGUCGGCCGGGUGCCCCCUCCUCCGGCCCGGGCGGUGCCGCGAAUCACCUCAGGAGAGCCGGGAGGGGGCUCGGGGGCCGCGGCCUGCGUUCCCGGCGGGCGGUUGAGGGCAAAGGAGGCCCUCCCUUCUGACGAGGGGAGGGAGGGUCAGGAGCCCCCCACCGCCCAGCUGAGCCCGGGGCGUGCACCGGCGAGGGCCGGGCAGCCGGAGGGGCGGUUGUCUGGGGGAGGGGGCGCGGGGUGAUUCAGCGCCCGGCGAGGCGGAAGCGGCUGCAGGAGGAGGAGGAGGGGGAAGAGGCCAGUCUGCGCCUGGGCGCCCGGGGUGGCACGAGCCCGCGGCCCGAGUGCGAGGCGGAGGCGAGGAGGCCGCGGGGACUGGAGGCGAGGCCGGCCGGGCUCCCGCAGUCAUGGAGAACGCGCACACAAAGACGGUGGAGGAGGUGCUGGGCCACUUCGGCGUCAACGAGAGCACGGGGCUGAGCCUGGAGCAGGUCAAGAAGCUCAAGGAGAAAUGGGGUUCCAACGAGUUACCGGCUGAAGAAGGAAAAACCUUGCUGGAACUUGUGAUUGAGCAGUUUGAAGACUUACUAGUUAGAAUUUUAUUGCUGGCAGCUUGUAUAUCUUUUGUUUUGGCUUGGUUUGAAGAAGGUGAAGAAACAAUAACAGCCUUUGUAGAACCCUUUGUAAUUUUACUUAUAUUAGUAGCCAAUGCAAUUGUGGGUGUGUGGCAGGAAAGAAAUGCUGAGAAUGCAAUCGAAGCCCUUAAGGAAUAUGAGCCUGAAAUGGGCAAAGUAUACCGACAGGACAGAAAGAGUGUCCAGCGGAUUAAAGCUAAAGACAUAGUUCCUGGUGAUAUUGUAGAAAUUGCUGUUGGUGACAAAGUUCCUGCUGAUAUAAGAUUAACUUCCAUCAAAUCUACUACUCUAAGAGUUGACCAGUCUAUUCUCACAGGCGAGUCUGUGUCGGUCAUCAAGCACACGGACCCCGUCCCGGACCCGCGGGCCGUCAACCAAGAUAAGAAGAACAUGCUCUUUUCUGGUACAAACAUUGCUGCUGGCAAAGCCAUGGGAGUGGUGGUGGCAACUGGAGUGAACACAGAAAUUGGCAAGAUCCGGGAUGAAAUGGUGGCAACAGAGCAGGAGAGAACCCCGCUCCAGCAGAAACUAGAUGAGUUUGGGGAACAGCUUUCCAAAGUCAUCUCCCUGAUUUGCAUUGCUGUCUGGAUCAUAAACAUUGGGCACUUCAACGACCCAGUUCAUGGAGGCUCCUGGAUCAGGGGUGCUAUUUACUACUUCAAAAUUGCGGUGGCUCUGGCUGUGGCAGCCAUUCCUGAAGGUCUGCCUGCUGUCAUCACCACCUGCCUGGCUCUUGGAACUCGCAGAAUGGCAAAGAAAAAUGCCAUUGUUCGAAGCCUCCCUUCUGUAGAAACCCUUGGUUGUACUUCUGUUAUCUGCUCGGACAAGACUGGUACGCUGACAACGAACCAGAUGUCUGUGUGCAGGAUGUUCAUUCUGGACAAAGUUGAAGGUGAUAGCUGUUCCCUUAAUGAGUUUACCAUUACUGGAUCAACUUAUGCACCUAUUGGAGAAGUGCAUAAAGACGAUAAGCCGGUUAAGUGUCAUCAGUAUGACGGUCUUGUGGAACUGGCAACAAUUUGUGCUCUUUGUAACGAUUCUGCCUUGGAUUACAAUGAGGCAAAGGGUGUGUAUGAAAAAGUUGGAGAAGCUACAGAGACUGCUCUCACUUGCCUAGUGGAGAAGAUGAAUGUAUUUGAUACCGAAUUGAAGGGUCUCUCUAAAAUAGAGCGAGCAAAUGCCUGCAACUCGGUCAUCAAGCAGUUGAUGAAAAAGGAAUUUACUCUGGAGUUUUCACGUGAUAGGAAAUCGAUGUCAGUUUAUUGUACACCAAACAAACCAAGCCGGACAUCGAUGAGCAAAAUGUUUGUGAAGGGUGCUCCCGAAGGUGUCAUCGACAGGUGCACCCACAUUCGAGUUGGAAGUACGAAAGUUCCUAUGACCCCGGGAGUCAAACAGAAGAUCAUGUCUGUCAUUCGGGAAUGGGGCAGUGGCAGCGACACACUGCGGUGCCUGGCUCUGGCCACUCAUGACAACCCACUGAGAAGAGAAGAAAUGAACCUUGAGGACUCUGCCAACUUUAUUAAAUACGAGACCAAUCUGACUUUCGUUGGCUGUGUGGGCAUGCUGGACCCUCCAAGAAUUGAAGUGGCCUCUUCUGUGAAGCUGUGCCGGCAAGCAGGCAUCCGGGUCAUCAUGAUCACGGGGGACAACAAGGGCACUGCAGUGGCCAUCUGUCGGCGCAUUGGCAUCUUCGGGCAGGACGAGGAUGUGACUUCAAAGGCUUUUACGGGUCGGGAGUUUGAUGAGCUCAAUCCUUCAGCCCAGAGAGAUGCCUGUUUGAAUGCUCGCUGUUUUGCUCGAGUUGAACCUUCCCACAAGUCAAAAAUUGUAGAAUUUCUUCAGUCUUUUGAUGAGAUUACAGCUAUGACUGGGGACGGCGUGAAUGAUGCUCCCGCCCUGAAGAAAUCUGAGAUCGGCAUUGCCAUGGGCUCUGGCACGGCAGUGGCUAAAACGGCCUCAGAGAUGGUGCUGGCCGACGACAACUUUUCCACCAUCGUGGCUGCGGUGGAGGAGGGGCGCGCCAUCUACAACAACAUGAAGCAGUUCAUCCGCUAUCUCAUCUCCUCGAAUGUGGGGGAAGUGGUCUGUAUCUUCCUGACAGCAGCCCUUGGCUUUCCUGAGGCUUUAAUUCCUGUCCAGCUGCUCUGGGUCAAUCUGGUGACAGACGGCCUGCCUGCCACUGCCCUGGGGUUCAACCCUCCCGACCUGGACAUCAUGAACAAACCACCCCGGAACCCGAAGGAACCCCUGAUCAGUGGAUGGCUCUUUUUCCGUUACCUGGCCAUUGGCUGUUACGUUGGCGCAGCUACCGUGGGUGCCGCCGCGUGGUGGUUCAUUGCUGCCGACGGAGGGCCAAGGGUGUCCUUCUACCAGCUGAGCCACUUCCUACAGUGUAAAGAUGACAACCCGGACUUUGAAGGAGUGGAUUGUGCAAUCUUUGAGUCCCCAUACCCGAUGACAAUGGCGCUGUCUGUUCUAGUAACCAUAGAGAUGUGUAACGCCCUCAACAGCUUGUCCGAAAACCAGUCCCUGCUGAGGAUGCCCCCCUGGGAGAACAUCUGGCUCGUGGGCUCCAUCUGCCUGUCCAUGUCGCUCCACUUCCUCAUCCUCUACGUGGAACCUUUGCCACUUAUUUUCCAGAUCACACCGCUGAAUCUGACCCAGUGGCUGAUGGUGCUGAAAAUCUCCUUGCCUGUGAUUCUGAUGGACGAGACACUCAAGUUUGUGGCCCGCAACUACCUGGAACCUGGUAAAGAGUGUGUGCAGCCUGCCACCACGUCCUGCUCGCUCUCGGCAUGCACCGACGGGAUUUCCUGGCCGUUUGUGCUGCUCAUAAUGCCCCUGGUGAUCUGGGUCUAUAGCACAGACACUAACUUUAGUGAUAUGUUCUGGUCUUGACUGACAGUUUUACAUAAAGAAGAUGUUUAACUUAAUCAAUUAAUUUUUUUAUUGUUUAAAGCAACUGUCUAUUUCUGCUGAAUUUUCACAUGAACAUAUUGGCUGGUGAAGGAAAUUUCAUACUCUAGAUUUUGUUUUGCUUUUCUGACUCCAGUGGGGCAAGAUUUUCCUUUUUUAUACACAUAAUUAAAGUGUCCAUUGACAUGUACAGAGAACUAACACUAUUUUAUGCAAAUAUUUUUUUGUAGAUGAAAAAGCAUGUACAGUGUUCUGUUUAAUACUCAUCCUUGUAUAAAACAAACAGUUGAGCCAGCGGACAUUGUCAGCAAGUUAAUUGGCAGCAGAUUUUAGGAAAUGAAUGUGUGUGGGUUUUGGUUUUUUUUUUUUGUUUUUUUUUGUUUUUUUCUAAAACUAAAUAGCAUGUAUUGUGUCUUUUGCAUGAUCAUCUGGAUUUAAUCUGAGAUCACAGUCUAAUUUUUAUUCAUAAGCCAAUUUUUCUGCACUGAGCAGAGUACUGCUACCUCAGUCAGUAUUUUUUGGUUUGCCACUUCCCUCACUCCCCCGGCCCCCGUUCACUCCCACCCCCACUCCUGGCCCCGCUCGGCUGCUUCUCCCCUAGGUUCCGAUGGUUCUGUUUACAUCAGUCUUAACAAGAGGUAUGCCUGUUCUCGCUUGUGCAGAAAACAUUGUUCCAGAUUCAAUCGACUGGGUUCGAGUCCCCCCACGUAGUUUUUAAGGUUAUUUAUUUAAAUGUCUAAUGUAUUUUAUUGUAACAGACAUUGUUUUGCCAACAUUGCCUAUUUCAGUGGCACUUUACAAUCUAGUUUAAAAAGGAAAAUAAAACAUUUUAAAUGGACAGAAAAAUAACUGUCUUGUUUUUAAGUGGCUUAGCUUGAACUAUAACAAAUUGUGUCCAAUUAAGUUCUUAGCUCAGAACUUGAGUUUUAUUGUGCCCGAGGGGAAGGAGGAUGGUGUUCUGCUGCAUAGGUAGCUGUAGGAAUGAACACAUAGGCACCUGUUGUCACCCAUGAUACUUUUUUGCAAGUUGCUGCUGGCCUGUUUUAGCCUGGUGUAGAGAACAUAAGGGGGAGUGCGUGUGUAUAUGUGUGUGUGUGUAUGUGUUUUUGUAAAAAUCUGUAAAUAGCACAUGACCAAAUGAACAUAUUGUAUAGAACUAUUUUUAUUUGAAUGUGGCACUAACCAACACCAUGGUUACUAUGAUAUGUUGCGCAUGUUUGAGAUCAGUCUUACCAACCGUGUGUAAGUCAUUAACUGUCCUAACUAUGGUGUUUUCCUCCAAUGCCUUCCAACAUCCAUCAACUAACCAAUACUGGAGUAACCGCUUCCUAAACCAUUUUGCAGAAAUAUAAGGGUGUUCGGUUGCGUGCAUGUGCGUUUUUAGCAACACAUCUACCAGCCCUCUGCAUGAUUGAUGUUGGGGGAAAAAGAAAAAUAGAAAAAGUCCCCAACUCAUUGUGUGUUAUGUGGAGGAAACGUAUUACCAACGGGGUUUAGCUUUUAAAUCAAAAUAGUAAUUACAAAUGUACAAUUUAGCUUAAUGAAUCAGAAAGCCUCUCCAGAGAACUUUGGUUUCUUUGCUGCAAGAAGAAUGAGGUUCUGAAACCUUAUCUGAGAACUUAGAAGCCAUCAGCCAAGUCUCCAUGUUUCUCUGUGCAAAAUGUCAUAGUUUAUAUAAAUGUACAAUACUCAGUUGUAAUGCAUGCCUUCGGUUGUAAGUAGCCAGAUUUCUCUGCGGCAUCAUUUAAACCUGCUACUUUUUAAUUGGCCCUGUACAGUUUGCUUAUUUAUAAAUCUACUGAAAACACUACAGGUGUUAAAAGGUUAGAAUGUAGGCCUCUAGUUCAUAACUUGUUACUUUUUUUUGGGUGUGCAAACAGCUCUUUUGCACUGUAUUAAAUGUAACUUAUUUAAUGAAAUCAGAAACCGUAGACAGAUGUUGGUGCAAUACGACUCUUGUGAUGCGUUUAUCUUACUAAAAUGCUAACCGUCAAUUUAUCACAAAGCAUGUUUGACUUAGACUGUAAAUAGAGAUCAACUGUCUGUUUCUGUGCUGGAAACAAGCAUUGCACAGACAUGGUUUCGGGUAAAUAAAUCUAUUCUAUGAUAAGUUCA
Molecule: RNA transcript, 5856 nt
Organism: Lutra lutra (Eurasian river otter)
Lineage: Eukaryota; Metazoa; Chordata; Mammalia; Carnivora; Mustelidae
Gene: ATP2A2
Gene name: ATPase sarcoplasmic/endoplasmic reticulum Ca2+ transporting 2
Exons: 21
Source: RefSeq, a predicted model, not a curated record